This 173-nucleotide ribosomal RNA is filed under the name Campylobacter coli. Its description in RNAcentral is "partial 23S ribosomal RNA". It matches the Rfam family "Bacterial large subunit ribosomal RNA", at positions 1 to 188 of the family's 2925-position model. Lineage: Bacteria; Pseudomonadati; Campylobacterota; Epsilonproteobacteria; Campylobacterales; Campylobacteraceae. The record is from RNAcentral. RNAcentral also lists the same sequence under 1 other name.
AAAGGUAAGCUACUAAGAGCGAAUGGUGGAUGCCUUGACUGGUAAAGGCGAUGAAGGACGUACUAGACUGCGAUAAGCUACGGGGAGCUGUCAAGAAGCUUUGAUCCGUAGAUUUCCGAAUGGGGCAACCCAAUGUAUAGAGAUAUACAUUACCUAUAUAGGAGCGAACGAGG